AUUGAACGCUGGCGGCAGGCCUAACACAUGCAAGUCGAGCGGUAGAGAGGUGCUUGCAUCUCUUGAGAGCGGCGGACGGGUGAGUAAUGCCUAGGAAUCUGCCUAGUGGUGGGGGAUAACGUUCGGAAACGGACGCUAAUACCGCAUACGUCCUACGGGAGAAAGCGGGGGAUCUUCGGACCUCGCGCCAUUAGAUGAGCCUAGGUCGGAUUAGCUAGUUGGUGAGGUAAUGGCUCACCAAGGCGACGAUCCGUAACUGGUCUGAGAGGAUGAUCAGUCACACUGGAACUGAGACACGGUCCAGACUCCUACGGGAGGCAGCAGUGGGGGAAUAUUGGACAAUGGCGAAAGACCUGAUCCAGCAAUGCCGCGUGAGUGAUGAAGGCCUUAGGGUUGUAAAGCUCUUUUACCCGGGAUGAUAAUGACAGUACCGGGAGAAUAAGCUCCGGCUAACUCCGUGCCAGCAGCCGCGGU
Molecule: ribosomal RNA, 474 nt
Filed under: uncultured bacterium
Lineage: Bacteria
Description: bacterial SSU rRNA
Rfam family: Bacterial small subunit ribosomal RNA
Source: RNAcentral